Long non-coding RNA from Dipodomys ordii (Ord's kangaroo rat), 295 nucleotides. RefSeq lists it as uncharacterized. The record is from RefSeq and is a predicted model, not a curated record. NCBI's taxonomy places the organism in Eukaryota, Metazoa, Chordata, Mammalia, Rodentia, Heteromyidae. The transcript is spliced from 3 exons.
AGGCGAGGGACACCUCCAGGAGCCACUCUGGGACUCUGUACCCCGUCAAUCAUAGCUUCUCUCAAGAAUGAAGUUGAGGAGCAACUCCUGGCCCAUCAAAACGUUCCCACGCGGGGAACUGUGCCGACUGGGGAGUGGUGGAAAUCAAGUGACUUCUAGUGACCCUGAGUGAUCCUCUUCUGAAGACUAGAAGCCUUACACCAAGCACUGGCAGAGCUAGGCUCCCACCAAAGGCCCGAGAGGAGAAGCCUUGCAGCUCUUGUGCCUGCAGCUGCAUUGCUCCAGUUUUAUGUCA